Molecule: ribosomal RNA, 409 nt
Filed under: bacterium
Lineage: Bacteria
Description: partial 16S ribosomal RNA
Rfam family: Bacterial small subunit ribosomal RNA
Source: RNAcentral
UGGGGAAUAUUGCACAAUGGGCGAAAGCCUGAUGCAGCGACGCCGCGUGAGGGAUGACGGCCUUCGGGUUGUAAACCUCUUUCAGUAGGGACGAAGCGCAAGUGACGGUACCUGCAGAAGAAGCACCGGCUAACUACGUGCCAGCAGCCGCGGUAAUACGUAGGGUGCGAGCGUUGUCCGGAAUUACUGGGCGUAAAGAGCUCGUAGGCGGUUUGUCACGUCGUCUGUGAAAUCCUAGGGCUUAACCCUGGACGUGCAGGCGAUACGGGCUGACUUGAGUACUACAAGGGAGACUGGAAUUUCUGGUGUAGCGGAGGAAUGCACAGAUAUCAGGAAGAACACCGAUGGCGAAGGCAGGUCUCUGGGUAGUAACUGACGCUGAGGAGCGAAAGCAUGGGUAGCGAACAGG